AGGUGGAUUGUCACACGCCGGGCUAACAGAGUUGUCAGUUUAUUGAAAAAAAGAUGGAGGUUAAUUCGUCUCGAACAGAAUCCCUUUGUCCCUCGGAUCCGUUCUCUUUGUCACGAGGUUUGCUAACAGCGGAAAACUCGAGCGAAAAGGCUCGAGAGUGUUGAAAAGGAAGAAUAGAGAAGAAAGGGCCGAGAGAAGGAGACGACGAGGUGUUGCAACACGCUGCUCGAUGCUCGACCGUGAGGGUGGUAACCGCCGACCGUGUUCCGGUCUCUACCGGAACCCCUCGACUCCACGACAUCAACAAGUGACAAGGAGGGAGUAGCAAAAACUCCGUCGUGGCGCGUCG
Molecule: unclassified non-coding RNA, 349 nt
Filed under: Bombus terrestris (buff-tailed bumblebee)
Lineage: Eukaryota; Metazoa; Arthropoda; Insecta; Hymenoptera; Apidae
Description: misc RNA ENSBTSG00005033498.1
Source: RNAcentral